AUGGGAGACGUGGAUUGGGUUCCUAGAUCUUGGCUUCAACAGUCCCGGUCUUGUGUGCUAUCUGGGGAUUGUACUAGUGGAUGGAGGCAUCUCUCUCUCUCUCUCUCUCAAAUUAAUUAUUUUUUAAAUUGUCAGCAGGAUUGCAUACCUGUGGAGGCUCCAGUCUGUGCAUCGUCAUAUCCAGCAGAGGCAGUGUCAACUAUGAAAGUGGUCGGGGGCAUGGAGAUACUCAUGGUCUAGUGAGAAGAAGAAUGUGACUGUGACAUGCCAAGCAAGUGUUUCAGGCCAUUGUGCCAAGUAACACGGUGCAGCAGAACCCAGAGCUACAAACUGAGCCGCUCUCCUAAUCUCAGCACCACGUUCUGCAGACCACCCAGCCUCACCAACCAACACCAAACAUCCCGACCUUGACCACGACAUGGUGAGUGUGUGGUGAAGAGGUAACAUGCACGUGGUGGGACUGACAUUUUCUCAGCGUGAUUUAGAUCUGAACUUCCUCUGAAGCCAAAACAAGGAGGAAAAUGUGACCCAUUGCAAACAUCGCAAGAUCCAAAAGGCAAAAUCAAAGGGUUUGGGGAGGAAAGUGUGACAAUUUCAUGAGCUCGAGAUCAGAGCCUGAAAGAAAAUCCUCCUUAUGGGAGUGAGUGUUUGCCUUAGCACUUCAGAUGUCUGUUAGGAUGCACGCAUCCCAUGUCAGAGUCUACGGGUUCAAGUCUUGGGUUCUGCUGCAGAUUUCAGCUUCCUGUUACUGUGCACCCUGUGUGGUAGCGAGUGGUGACUCAAGUAGUUGGGUCCCUGCCACCCGCGUGGUGCACGUAGACUUAGUCCCCAGCUCCCGGCUUUAACCCAGCCCAGUCCUAGCCAUUGUGGGCAUUUGCAAAGGAAAUCAAUAGACAGGAGUCCCCUCUGUGGAUAUGUCUGUCUUUCUGCCACUUUCUAUCUCCCUGCCUCACAAAUAGAUAUUUUUGAAAAUAAAAUAUUUUGUUAUUAUAAUAAAAUCA
RNAcentral lists this long non-coding RNA (1001 nucleotides) under Oryctolagus cuniculus (rabbit). RNAcentral describes it as "lncRNA (ENSOCUG00000035894.1)". Lineage: Eukaryota; Metazoa; Chordata; Mammalia; Lagomorpha; Leporidae. The record is from RNAcentral.